AACGAACGCUGGCGGCGCGCCUAAUACAUGCAAGUCGAGCGAGAAGACGUAGCAAUACGUUUGUAAAGCGGCGAACGGGUGAGGAAUACAUGGGUAACCUACCCUCGAGUGGGGAAUAACUAGCCGAAAGGUUAGCUAAUACCGCGUACGCUCCUUGGACUUCGGUUCAGGGAGGAAAGCGAUACCGUGGGUAUCGCGCUCUUGGAUGGGCUCAUGUCCUAUCAGCUUGUUGGUGAGGUAACGGCUCACCAAGGCUUCGACGGGUAGCUGGUCUGAGAGGACGAUCAGCCACACUGGCACUGCGACACGGGCCAGACUCCUACGGGAGGCAGCAGUAAGGAAUAUUGCGCAAUGGGCGAAAGCCUGACGCAGCGACCGCGCGUGGGGGAUGAAGGUCUUCGGAUUGUAAACCCCUUUCGGGUA
Molecule: ribosomal RNA, 423 nt
Filed under: uncultured bacterium
Lineage: Bacteria
Description: bacterial SSU rRNA
Rfam family: Bacterial small subunit ribosomal RNA
Source: RNAcentral